This 496-nucleotide ribosomal RNA is filed under the name uncultured bacterium. Its description in RNAcentral is "partial 16S ribosomal RNA". It matches the Rfam family "Bacterial small subunit ribosomal RNA", at positions 28 to 506 of the family's 1533-position model. The record is from RNAcentral.
GAUGAACGCUGGCGGCGUGCCUAAUACAUGCAAGUCGAGCGAACGGACGAGAAGCUUGCUUCUCUGAUGUUAGCGGCGGACGGGUGAGUAACACGUGGAUAACCUACCUAUAAGACUGGGAUAGCUUCGGGAAACCGGAGCUAAUACCGGAUGAUAUUUUGAACCGCAUGGUUCAAAAGUGAAAGACGGUCUUGCUGUCACUUAUAGAUGGAUCCGCGCUGCAUUAGCUAGUUGGUAAGGUAACGGCUUACCAAGGCAACGAUGCAUAGCCGACCUGAGAGGGUGAUCGGCCACACUGGAACUGAGACACGGUCCAGACUCCUACGGGAGGCAGCAGUAGGGAAGCUUCCGCAAUGGGCGAAAGCCUGACGGAGCAACGCCGCGUGAGUGAUGAAGGUCUUCGGAUCGUAAAACGCUGUUAUUAGGGAAGAACAUAUGUGUAAGUAACUGUGCACAUCUUGACGGUACCUAAUCAGAAAGCCACGGCUAACUACGU